Molecule: ribosomal RNA, 497 nt
Filed under: uncultured bacterium
Lineage: Bacteria
Description: partial 16S ribosomal RNA
Rfam family: Bacterial small subunit ribosomal RNA
Source: RNAcentral
GAUGAACGCUGGCGGCGUGCCUAAUACAUGCAAGUCGAGCGAACGGACGAGAAGCUUGCUUCUCUGAUGUUAGCGGCGGACGGGUGAGUAACACGUGGAUAACCUACCUAUAAGACUGGGAUAACUUCGGGAAACCGUAGCUAAUACCGGAUAAUAUUUUGAACCGCACGGUUCAAAAGUGAAAGACGGUCUUGCUGUCACUUAUAGAUGGAUCCGCGCUGCAUUAGCUAGUUGGUAAGGUAACGGCUUACCAAGGCAACGAUGCAUAGCCGACCUGUUAGGGUGGUAGGCCACCCUGGAGCUUGGACGCGGUCCUGGCUCCUACGGGAGGCACCAGUAGGGUAUCUUCCGCAGUGGGCGGAAGCCUGACGGAACAACGCCGCGUGAGUUAUGACGGUCUUCGGAUCGUAAAACUCUGUUAUUAGGGAAGAACAUAUGUGUAAGUAACUGUGCACAUCUUGACGGUACCUAAUCAGAAAGCCACGGCUAACUACGUG